RNAcentral lists this ribosomal RNA (461 nucleotides) under uncultured bacterium. Its description in RNAcentral is "SSU rRNA". It matches the Rfam family "Bacterial small subunit ribosomal RNA", at positions 26 to 518 of the family's 1533-position model. The record is from RNAcentral.
AGAACGAACGCUGGCGGCAUGCCUAACACAUGCAAGUCGAACGCUUUUGGGGCUUCGGUCCCAAAGGAGUGGCGCACGGGUGAGUAGCGCGUGGGAACCUGCCCUGUUGUGGGGGAUAACCGAGGGAAACUUCGGCUAAUACCGCAUACGCCCGGGGGAAACUCCGGGGAAAGAUUUAUCGCAGCAGGAGGGGCCCGCGUCGGAUUAGGUAGUUGGUGGGGUAACGGCCCACCAAGCCUGUGAUCCGUAGCUGGUCUGAGAGGAUGAUCAGCCACACUGGGACUGAGACACGGCCCAGACUCCUACGGGAGGCAGCAGUGGGGAAUAUUGGACAAUGGGCGCAAGCCUGAUCCAGCAAUGCCGCGUGAGUGAUGAAGGCCUUCGGGUUGUAAAGCUCUUUCGCACGCGACGAUGAUGACGGUAGCGUGAGAAGAGCCCGGCUAACUCGCGCCAGCAGCCGC